CCUCCACCAUGAAACGAGCCUCCUGCCUCAGCCUCCCAUAUGCAGGGUUGACAGAGUUGUGAAACCGAAGAUCAGAUGGAGCCCCAGUUAAGGAGCAAAGAUUCUGCUCUUGGCCAAGAGUAAGGGAAAUGGGAGAUGACGUCGCCGAUCUGCUUCCCACCCGUUGGUGUCGGGUCCCGCGGGGGAACGCGAUCCUGCUGUGUCACGGAGCUGUCACCGCGCCCAGAGUUGGCCAGUCCCACACAGCCAAGUUUCAGCCAAUCAUACACAGUUGAAUGGACAGACCACACCCACCGUGACAAGCACCGCAGAGCCAAUCAGAAGAUUUCUCUACUUUGUUUCCGGUUUGGCCCAGUAGAGCCAAACAGCCCCUUCUGUUGCUUCCCGAAAGCACUGAAUGUUUUCUGGUUCUGAGUGCUGCC
This 422-nucleotide long non-coding RNA is filed under the name Heterocephalus glaber (naked mole-rat). RNAcentral's name for it is "lncRNA (ENSHGLG00100044363.1)". The record is from RNAcentral. Lineage: Eukaryota; Metazoa; Chordata; Mammalia; Rodentia; Bathyergidae.